AUUGAACGCUGGCGGCAGGCCUAACACAUGCAAGUCGAACGAGUGGCGGACGGGUGAGUAAUGUCUGGGAACCUUCAUGAUGGCGGGGGAUAACUACUGGAAACGGUAGCUAAUACCGCAUACCAUCAGAUGUGCCCAGAUGGGGUUAGCUAGUUGGGGGGGUAACGGCGCACCAAGGCGACGAUCCCUAGCUGGUCUGAGAGGAUGACCAGCCACACUGGAACUGAGACACGGUCCAGGCUCCUACGGGAGGCAGUAGUGGGGAAUAUUGUACAAUGGGCGCAAGCCUGACGCAGCCAUGCCGCGUGUAUGAAGAAGGCCUGCGGGUUGUAAAGUACUUUCAGCGGGGAGGCGUUACCCUCAGAAGAAGCACCGGCUAACUCCGUGCCAGCAGCCGCGGUAAUAC
Molecule: ribosomal RNA, 406 nt
Filed under: uncultured bacterium
Lineage: Bacteria
Description: partial 16S ribosomal RNA
Rfam family: Bacterial small subunit ribosomal RNA
Source: RNAcentral